This 253-nucleotide ribosomal RNA is filed under the name uncultured bacterium. Its description in RNAcentral is "partial 16S ribosomal RNA". It matches the Rfam family "Bacterial small subunit ribosomal RNA", at positions 524 to 776 of the family's 1533-position model. The record is from RNAcentral.
UAUGAAGGGGGCUAGCGUUGCUCGGAAUCACUGGGCGUAAAGGGUGCGUAGGCGGGUCUUUAAGUCAAGGGUGAAAUCCUGGAGCUCAACUCCAGAACUGCCUUCGAUACUGAGAGUCUCGAGUCCGGGAGAGGUGAGUGGAACUGCGAGUGUAGAGGUGAAAUUCGUAGAUAUUCGCAAGAACACCAGUGGCGAAGGCGGCUCACUGGCCCGGUACUGACGCUGAGGUGCGAAAGCGUGGGGAGCAAACAGG